RNAcentral lists this transfer RNA (56 nucleotides) under Triticum aestivum (bread wheat). The record is from Rfam by way of RNAcentral. Lineage: Eukaryota; Viridiplantae; Streptophyta; Magnoliopsida; Poales; Poaceae. RNAcentral also lists the same sequence under 1 other name.
GCUCAGUUGGUGGAGCACAAGGCUCUUAACCUUGUGGUCAUGGGUUCAAGCUCCAC